RNAcentral lists this long non-coding RNA (1085 nucleotides) under Pan troglodytes (chimpanzee). RNAcentral describes it as "long non-coding RNA NONPTRT009943". The record is from RNAcentral. Lineage: Eukaryota; Metazoa; Chordata; Mammalia; Primates; Hominidae.
GGCCAAACCACCUUUCCCCUUUGCCAGGGCUCCCUGAUCAGUUCUGCCCAUGUGCUACUAAGGGAAACGGUAAGGCUGGAGGAGGGAAAGGGGACACCACCCUUCUCUUUGCACACUGCUUAUGCCAGCAGCAUCCGAGCAAUACCGCUUGCCCUGUAGUGCUUCUUGAGUCGGAUUUCAGUUCAGUGUCUGGGUUUUUGAACAUUUCUAUAACCAUUCUCCCUCCUCAAUAGCACUCCCACAUCAGAAGCUGAGUCCCAGCUCCCUGACUUCUCCAGAUCCUAGAACUAUCAGCACCAGCAGCAGCACACAUUCCAUUCCUGUGGGGCUUGGCUCUGUGAGGCUCCUCUCAGCUCCCAGAUUCUCCCAACACAACUUCUUUCCUUUGUUCCCCCAGACUUCGAGCAGGUCAUUUCUUGCUAUGCCUGUCUAACCCCUUCCCUAAAUUCAAUUCUCUCUGUUAAGAUAACCAGUAUGUUUCUGCUUUCCAGUCUGGAUUCUGAUUGAUACACAAAAGCUGCAUUCCCACAUCAAGGGAACUGCGAGUGUUCACCCUCCGUGGUAAGGGGAGACUGGGAGACCCCACAAAAGCAUCCCAAGAGAGGAAGAGUCCCUUUACACACCUGCUGCCCCGUGUGUGGAUGCCCACUGAGCACGGAAGUUGUCAAGUAAGAACUCUCAACUCCCUAGUGUUCCAAAUCCCAGUUCUGGUGGAGUCAGGUAUUACAGUCAUAGCAGAGCAGAGGACCUUAGCAGCCCUAGGCAGAGAGGGGCUGAAGAAGCCAACCAAGGCUUCAGGUGUAGUUGGAGAAAGAAGUCUCAGCCUCGAUCAAGUUUUCAGAACACUUCACUCUGUCUCGAUUACUACAUGGUGAAUUGAAGUUUCAGUAGAGAGGGAGUUGAGCUGAUACUGAGGAGAUAAAUACCCAUCACUGUAUACAUCUACUUCUUGGAAUUUGCAAGGGAACCAGUCAACAGAUUUUUCAAGCCUUAUAAGUUUAUCCGCCUGAGAAGUUCACCAGCUACAUAACAUCCUGGACUCUGGAGCCCAAGAGAUGUGUAGUUGCCAUUUUGGAGCCAUUUUC